RNAcentral lists this ribosomal RNA (370 nucleotides) under uncultured bacterium. RNAcentral's name for it is "bacterial SSU rRNA". It matches the Rfam family "Bacterial small subunit ribosomal RNA", at positions 30 to 399 of the family's 1533-position model. The record is from RNAcentral.
AUUGAACGCUGGCGGCAUGCCUUACACAUGCAAGUCGAACGGCAGCACGGGAGCAAUCCUGGUGGCGAGUGGCGAACGGGUGAGUAAUAUAUCGGAACGUGCCCAGUCGUGGGGAUAACGUAGCGAAAGCUACGCUAAUACCGCAUACGAUCUAUGGAUGAAAGCGGGGGAUCGCAAGACCUCGCGCGAUUGGAGCGGCCGAUAUCAGAUUAGGUAGUUGGUGAGGUAAAGGCUCACCAAGCCGACGAUCUGUAGCUGGUCUGAGAGGACGACCAGCCACACUGGGACUGAGACACGGCCCAGACUCCUACGGGAGGCAGCAGUGGGGAAUUUUGGUACAAUGGGCGCGAAGCCUGAUCCAGCAAUGCCG